GAUGAACGCUGGCGGCGUGCCUAACACAUGCAAGUCGAGCGGCAGCGAGGGGUGCUUGCACCCUGUCGGCGAGCGGCGGACGGCUGAGUAACGCGUGGGAACGUGCCCCAAAGUGAGGAAUAACUGCCCGAAAGGGUAGCUAAUACCGCAUAUUAUCUUCGGAUCAAAGGAUUUAUCCGCUUUGGGAGCGGCUCGCGUCGGAUUAGGUAGUUGGUGAGGUAAUGGCUCACCAAGCCGACGAUCCGUAGCUGGUCUGAGAGGAUGACCAGCCAGACUGGAACUGAGACACGGUCCAGAAUCCUACGGGAGGCAGCAGUGAGGAAUCUUCCACAAUGGGCGAAAGCCUGAUGGAGCAACGCCGCGUGCAGGACGAAGGCCUUCGGGUUGUAAACUGCUUUUAUAAGUGAGGAAUAUGACGGUAACUUAUGAAUAAGGAUCGGCUAACUACGUG
This 451-nucleotide ribosomal RNA is filed under the name uncultured bacterium. Its description in RNAcentral is "partial 16S ribosomal RNA". It matches the Rfam family "Bacterial small subunit ribosomal RNA", at positions 28 to 507 of the family's 1533-position model. The record is from RNAcentral.